Molecule: ribosomal RNA, 384 nt
Filed under: uncultured bacterium
Lineage: Bacteria
Description: bacterial SSU rRNA
Rfam family: Bacterial small subunit ribosomal RNA
Source: RNAcentral
GACGAACGCUGGCGGCGUGCUUAACACAUGCAAGUCGAGCGGUAAGGCCCUCGGGUACGACGAGCGGCGAACGGUGAGUAACACGUGGGUGACCUGCCCUUAGCUCUGGGAUAAGCCUGGGAAACUGGGUCUAAUACCGGAUAUGACCUCAUGACGCAUGUUGUGGGGUGGAAAGCCUUGUGCGGCUAGGGAUGGGCCCGCGGCCUAUCAGCUUGUUGGUGGGGUGAUGGCCUACCAAGGCGACGACGGGUAGCCGGCCUGAGAGGGCGACCGGCCACACUGGGACUGAGACACGGCCCAGACUCCUACGGGAGGCAGCAGUGGGGAAUCUUGCGCAAUGGGCGAAAGCCUGACGCAGCGACGCCGCGUGAGGGAUGACGGCCU